UACAGAGGUCCCAAGCGUUGUUCGGAUUCAUUGGGCGUAAAGGGCGCGUAGGCGGCUUGUACAGUCAGACGUGAAAUUCCUGGGCUCAACCUGGGGGCUGCGUUUGAUACGUGCGGGCUUGAGUUCGGAAGAGGGUCGUGGAAUUCCCAGUGUAGAGGUGAAAUUCGUAGAUAUUGGGAAGAACACCGGUGGCGAAGGCGGCGACCUGGUCCGAUACUGACGCUGAGGCACGAAAGCUAGGGGAGCAAACAGG
Molecule: ribosomal RNA, 253 nt
Filed under: uncultured bacterium
Lineage: Bacteria
Description: partial 16S ribosomal RNA
Rfam family: Bacterial small subunit ribosomal RNA
Source: RNAcentral